This is a non-coding RNA of Taeniopygia guttata (zebra finch), 987 nucleotides long. Lineage: Eukaryota; Metazoa; Chordata; Aves; Passeriformes; Estrildidae. The record is from RefSeq and is a predicted model, not a curated record.
AUGAGCAAAUGGCAUGGAAGAAACUUAUCCAUCAUCAAUUUUAUGUUGAUAGGAAAAAUAUAUGCUAAUAUCUUCACAAACAACUUGAUGGUCGGGAGUCUUCAUGAAUGAUAGGAGAAAUAGGGUGUUAUUGUCUCCAGGAGUAACUGAAAGAACCAAUCAGGUUCUGGAAGAAUGUUAUGGGGGCCUUUAGGGGAAAUGGGUCUUCAUGUCUCUAUGAACAUCAAGCCAAGCAAGUUACAGAACCCAGGGAGUUGGACCCAGAUAGUUUGAUUUUCUGAGCUUUCAAGUAAUAGGAGAAAGGGGUCUGCACAAAGUCUACUACAGAACUACAGAAAGCCUGAACUUCUGAACUUUAGGGGAAAAUGACCAUGCUUGUUGAGGAGGGAAUUUGUAGUAGGUGGUUCAGGAAGUCCAUGCUUUCCUGAUACCUCAGCCAAUGGGGAAAGGAACACAGCAACAUGCAGUCAGGAGUUUAGGAUAAAAGGAGACUGCACCCUCCAAAACCUCAAGAGACACUUCACUGGGGUAUUGUCCAGUACACUCUCUCCCUUUAUUGGAAAACAUUUUCUGGAGUCCUCUCUCUCCUUUACAGACACUGGCUUUUCACGGUGUGGUUUUUCCACACAAUGUGAAUAAGCAGACACUUUAUUUUGGUGCAAGGAGCACAGGGAAUUACUCCUCCAAGCAUAUUCUACUUAGUAAACAAAAUCCAUCCCUUUGAUAUACUUUUCUGCCGGGUCAUCGUUACGUCGAGGCUGAGCAAUCCGAGUCCAGGUGUAGACGAUUCUUCCCUGAUGGAAUUACAAGAACUUUACGGGAACCGCGGCUUUCAGAUGCAUCAGCCCGGAGGACUCCAGCGAUCCCAAUCUCGGGUCGUUACCUGAAUGAUCAACGCUUAAGGUUCCAGUAUCACCUCGCAGAACGAGGGAGAAUCUCUGGGCGAGCCACAUGUAUUAAAUUGUAAAUGAGGCUUUGUCCAAGAAA